AGAUGGCUGCUGUAAGGACUAGGAGGAGUCAGUGCUUACAAGAGCUGCCUAUGGCAAGCCUUGAGGAGCCUCUGCAGGAGCAGUCAGAGGAUUUACCUCUUCCAUGGUUAUGGGAAUAGACCACUCAUGGUGUACUCUACAAGUGUUAUGAAAAUGAUUGCUGUCAUCUUCGUGUGGUUUCCCCUCCACCUUGGAUCUAGUCAACAGAAGUUUCCAGAGAGGACAUCCUGCUGCCAGCAAACCAAACUGGAUAAUGAUGGGAAAGCUGAUGGAGUUUGUAAGUUUCCAGUGACAGAGAAGUGGACAGACUGGGUGUAUCACUAGUACAAAAGUAGUGGAGCGGGCUGAGACAAGAAAUGGGCUUAGGCACCUCCCUCCCCACUGUUAGAUCCCUUUCUCAGCUGCAGCUUGCCCAGAAAGCAAUACAUUAGUACCUUGGUACCCCUGCAACUUAUCAGGCCAGAUCUGGACAGCAUUGACCUGCUUUAGAUAGAGAGCAGAUAGGCCAGGUUUUUAUAUAGCUGAGCCUAACCCCUCCUGAAUUUUGGCCAAAAUGUCACUGAAAUGGAAGGCCAGGUCAGGAAACAGCAUGGAAAGCAGAGUUCAGGUGAUACAUUACUAUUUAUAUACAAAACUCUGGUUUCACAAUCUUUGCUAGGCUGGGCCCUGUAACGUCAAGUUCAACUGCCUUCCUGCUUUUAAAAAAUUUUUUACAAUUCCCUGGCAGCUACAUCUGCCAGGAUUGCAGGAGGGCUCAGCUCCCUUUUUAGCUAGAGAGACAAAUCAGUGCCCAGAGGAGAUGCUGCAGGAGGCCCACAAAAACCCAUCCUACCCUGUGGCCAGGCUUCCAUUCCUCACAAGCAACAGCGCAAAGUGCCAAAUGGUUAUUUGUGGUGCCUUCACAAUUCCCCACUAGGACAGUGCUUUUUAGUGUCUUUACCCCUGUUGCUGGAGAAGUCCCUUGAAGCACCUAUGGAUGCCACGCAGAGGGGAGCCUCUCCUGUGGCACUGCAGCAGGGACAAUGUUUAAGAUUCCUCGUGCUCUGUGUCUGGAUCUGCAUGAUUCCAGCUGCAGGGGCUUCCCUCCUAGGCCAAUCCAGCUUUCUCUGUGCACUGCCUGGGAAGAUGGAGAGCGUGGCAAUUGUUCCUGAGAGUGGGCACCUAAAACUCCACAGCCAGGUCCUCCUCUGGCCCUGAUAGUUAGGAAUCAAACUCCCCCUUGGGAACAAAAAAAACCCCAAACACCUAAAGUUUAAUGUGAUAAAAUGCUUCAUACUUUCCAGUAACUAAAUGAGUAGGAAAUGGAAGAAUUUCCAUUCUGGAAAGCUGAGGAAUUGUUAUUAGUAAAUGCAAGUAAUGCAGCAGAGUUUAAA
Zonotrichia leucophrys gambelii is the source of this 1373-nucleotide long non-coding RNA. RefSeq lists it as uncharacterized. The transcript has 2 exons. The record is from RefSeq and is a predicted model, not a curated record. Lineage: Eukaryota; Metazoa; Chordata; Aves; Passeriformes; Passerellidae.